AUGAACAAAAGGCCCAGCAUUUGA
Molecule: non-coding RNA, 24 nt
Filed under: Cricetulus griseus (Chinese hamster)
Lineage: Eukaryota; Metazoa; Chordata; Mammalia; Rodentia; Cricetidae
Source: RNAcentral